RNAcentral lists this long non-coding RNA (20777 nucleotides) under Brassica rapa (field mustard). Its description in RNAcentral is "long non-coding RNA (BRAP_LNC001773)". The record is from RNAcentral. Lineage: Eukaryota; Viridiplantae; Streptophyta; Magnoliopsida; Brassicales; Brassicaceae.
UCAGAAGACGAGAAGAAGAAAAAGGAAGAGCUAAAGGAGAAGUUUGAAGGACUCUGCAAAGUGAUUAAGGACGUCCUUGGAGACAAAGUCGAGAAGGUCAUUGUCUCUGACCGUGUUGUGGACUCACCAUGCUGUCUGGUAACAGGGGAAUACGGCUGGACUGCAAACAUGGAGAGGAUCAUGAAAGCGCAGGCCUUGAGAGACAGCAGCAUGGGAGGUUACAUGUCUUCCAAGAAGACGAUGGAGAUCAACCCAGAGAAUGCGAUCAUGGACGAGCUAAGGAAGAGAGCCGAAGCUGACAAGAAUGACAAGUCUGUGAAGGAUCUUGUUCUUCUCCUCUUUGAGACUGCUCUUCUCACUUCAGGUUUCAGCUUAGACGAGCCCAACACCUUCGGAAGCAGAAUCCACAGGAUGUUGAAGCUGGGAUUGAGCAUUGAUGAUGAUGAUGCCGUUGAAGCCGAUGCUGAGAUGCCACCGCUUGAGGAUGAUGCCGAUGCUGAAGGCAGCAAGAUGGAGGAGGUCGACUAAAAGCCUGCCCUGUUGCUGCAGUGAACGAUUUUUCUCUACUUAUCUGCUCUUUCUAUGGCUAAAACUAUUAUUUUGGUGUUUUUUCUUCUUUUCUCAAGUACUAUUAGUGGUGUAGUUUUUUUCUCUGAACUAUAACUAUUGCUGUUAAGGGACUUCGUUUCUUCCAAAUCCAGAAAUUGUUAUUGCACGGUUGAUGAGUAUCCUACUGAUAUAUUUUGUAUCUUGAACUUUGCUUAAGACAACAUAGUUAAAGUAUGUUUAAGUACCUGGACUGAAGAGUGGAAAAAAUGUAGUUGCUUGUGUUCUGUCGUUUGGAGUAUUACUCUUUUCUUAAGAGAACAUUAGUCUUCUAUGAUUUGACAGACAAGUUUGAAGACUCAUUAAAAAAACUUACAGAUCUCUUUUUGUCGCAACAGUUUCAAGAUUCUUUGCAUCGCUGCUCUCUACAUAGUAGAUUCACUGGCCAUUGUUAUAGUUCUGAGUGAGGUUUUUUGGGGGAAAACACACAGGUUGAAGCAAACCACUUGGGUAAAAGAUCUAUCAAUUUCAAAAGUUUAUAUAUCAUAUGGACCAGUUGUAUCUACAAAUAGGCCUGGUCAAGAUGUAAAUCGAAAAGAAUUUUGCCUCGCAACAAAGCUCAGCAAGAGAAAAAUAAAUGAGUUCAGAGAAACAAAUUAACUUUCACAAGAAAGCUCAACGAGACAAAUGAACAAAUAAAUGAGUUCAGAGAAAGUCUUUGUAGAUUGCUCUUUUUAUCGCUCUUUUUAUCUUCAGGUAUCUUCAACCUGAGAAUGGAACACAAAGCUUGGAAACGUAGUCGUGAUAUCCCUGCAAGCACAGACACAACAUGGUCACCACCUUUAUUGAGAAGAAACCAGAGAAGCAAUUCUGUUGUAUAGAUUUCAAUAAGUCCCGGUUACAAAAACAUAAACUCACUUGAGAUAUUGAAGAGUCAUGUUCUUGAGAAGGCUAGGAUGUCUAAGAACAAGGCUUCUCCACUCUUCCUUAUCAAUCUUUCCAUCGUGUUUCGUGUCUGCUUCUUCAAACGUCUAAAACAAAUCAAAACUCAGGGAAAGUUACUCUCAACUAAAGCUAUUGUGCGAAGAUGAGAAAAGCAACUUACCUUGUCAAUUAUAUCCUCAAUGACAGUAUCCUUCAGGUUCAUUCCAGAUUCAGCAAGCGUAGCCACAACCAUUUGUUUCACCUGGACAAAAACAGCGGUGAGGAUGAUGAUAAAGUGCAGUUUAAUAUGAAACCUAUUUGAAUAUACCUCUUGCCGUUCUAUGAAACCUUGCUGUUUAAGAUCAUAUAGCUGAAAUGAAACUGCAACAACAACAUAUAUAUAUAAACCAUGAAUCGGAAACAAUAUUAGGACAUUAUUUUUUCUAAGCUAUAAGGGACUUACAUUGGAUUUUGUCAUCUAUAGGUGCAUUGGGAUGGAAUACAGAGAGAGCUCGAGCAAACUCCUCAAACCCAAGUAUUCCAUUGUGCUUUGUGUCAAACAAAUCAAAAACCUACAAACCAAAUGACAUAUGCUUCUUAAGACUUGAUCUUUUGGGGGGGAAAAAAACACUUGUAGUAAAGAAAGAAAUAUUACUCGAUCAGCAAACAAGCUCUCUUUCUUAUUUGUCUUAAACAAUGCCAACUGAAACUCCUCCUGAACCAAAGUUUUAACAAGAGAUGAGUAAACUAGACUGAGAUGGUGUCAACAAAUAAUGAAUUGACCAAAAAGAUUACACAAGCUCUUACCUUGUUUAUAAGCCCAUCAUCAAUCACAGCACUGCUGAUUUUUUUAAACAGCUCAUAAAGAGCUUCUAUCUCACUGACACUAACUGCACCACAAACCAAGUUCCAUUUAUUUUUUUAUUUUUUUCAAACCAAGUUCCAUACAAUCAUAUAAACCGAACUAAAUUAAAAAAAAAGGAAUAGAGAAGCUGAUAGGCAAUACAAACUGUGUCUCUCGAAAGCAAUUCAGGGUCACCAAGUCCGCCACCAGAUUGUUUAUACAAAUCGAGAUCAAAACACCCUAAAACAGAGGUGCAUAAAUGCUUAACACCGUCUAUGCACUGCGUCAUGAUUGAUAACUUAUGCAAAUCAUAACUCUCCAUGCCUGCAAAAUAAAACAAAACAGGGAGAAGAAGUAAAGCCUAAGUGAAAACUCUACAGAAACAAAACAUAUGAACAAAUAUAAAAACCCACCUUAUAAGUUUUAACCUUUGGUCUGAGAAAAGGCAGAGCGCUCUGCGAUGAUCUGUAAUUGUAAAAGCAGAUGAGAUGUAAAUUGUAAUCACUUAAUAAAUCUUUUGGUCUGACAGAGUAGACAUAAGAUUGAAUGUAACACACACAACUUGAAAAAAAGUUAAAGAUAGGAUCAGACAAAGAUUCAUAAUAACAAAAUAAAGGCAACAAAACAUUGCUUACACACUAUAAACUGAAGUCAUUGUCAUUAUUACCAGAUGUUACUUAUGUCCACAUAAACACAAACGAAGGCUUGAAUGAUAUCAUUGGCAAAUUAUUUAAAAAGAUAAACGAGAAUAACGAUGCAAAAGCCUAAAAAUGUUUAAUUCACAUAACAAACCAAAUUUAUAUAUCUAAUUUUCUUAAACAUUAGAAUAAUGGAACAUUGCUCUCUAAAUCACUCCGAUUCAACAUUACAGUAAAACGGAUUCGUGAUGGAAUCACACGUUAUGCAACUCUUAUACUAUUCAGUAGUUGUGAACUGAAUUGGUUUUACAGAUUAACAGAAAUCAACCGAAUAAAAAGUUACCGUUUUUCGAUGCUUCUGAUUGUAUUCCUCAAUCUCAAGGCGGCUCUUUGGCGGUUGGAAGGUGGUGGAGAUUGGUAGUAAGGUGAGAGCCGAUUCUGGUGUAAGCAGAAUGGUUUAGAAGAACAAAUAUAUUUUACAAAACCUGAGAAAAUCUUUUAAACUAUUUAUGUAAAUAAAAUAAAGAAAUAAUCUUUUUAGCAUUAACUAACUUUGGUCUACAACUUUUUAAAUCAAUUAAUCUUAUAUAUUAAAACAGAAGUCACAACCUUAAUUCAUGUGUGAUUUUUUUAAAAAUGGACCUAAUGGACCUAUUCAUAGAAAUUCAUACUAUAUUUUAAUUCAGACUAAUAAUAAAUAUAAUUUUUAAAAUAUUUUAAUCAUAGUAUCUUUUGAUAUUUUUCAUUUUAAAUAUAAAUAUAUUUAUUUUAAAAUUCUAACAAAUCUGUUUAAAAAGAUUUUUACAAGAUCUUCAUUUUUGAAAUUAUAUUUAAAUAUUUUCACUAAUUUCGAAAUUAGUUUAAAAUAUUAUUAUACAUUAAUAUAUUCAGUUAUAUAAAAUGAAAAAUAAAAAAAAUCUAUAAUAUUUUAGUUAUUAUAUAAUCAUAAUCAAUCAUAUUAAAUUAAAAUUAUUAUCUUGAGCUAAAUAUAAUAAAAUUGUAUUAAACUUAUAUAUUUAUAUAUUUUAUUUUCGUAAUUAUAAAAUAUUUAUGUUCAAAAAUAAAAUCUAAUAUGUUGGUAAGAUGGGUUAACAUUAUCAAAUUAUAUAAUACAUGUAUAAAAAUUAACAUGUAUUUAUUUAAAGUUAAUAAUAUAAAAUCUUUGUAACUACAUUAAUUAUAAUAUAUUUUCAUUUUAAAUAUAAUAUAUAUUUAUAUAUUAUAUUUUAAAAAUUCUAAUAAAUCUGUGUAAUAUUUUUUUUUGUCACGAAUAAAUCUGUGUAAUAUUUAAACAAUAACUUAAUGUAUUUUAAGUUAUUGUUUAGAAAUGAAAAUAAAUAAAUUAUAUCCUAUUUUAUCUACUUUUAUAGUCAUGAUCAUGUUAAAAUAUAAUUAUUAUACUAAAAUAAAUAUGAUAAAAUUAUAUUCAAUUGAUAAAUUUAUAAAUUUUAUUUUCAUAAAUAUAAACUAUUUAUUUAAAAUAUAAUAUGAUGAUAGAACGACUUAAAAUUAACAAACUAUAUAAUACAUGUCUAAAAAUUAACAUAUCUUACACUUUUAUAUAUACAAUAAUAAAUUAUCUAAAAUAAAUAAGCAUAAAAAUAUUGGUAAAAAGAAAUCCAGUUUUGAAAUACGGGUCAGAAUUUAGCAUAAAUUAAAUACAAAAUAUUUUUUAAAUAUAUUUUCUCAUGAAUCCCCUAUAUUAUUUUGCUUAAUAAUUAAAUGCAAAUACAAUAAAACAAAUAUAUAAUAGGAAGUGGUAAAUACAUAAGGUUUAAAUAAUUAAUUAAUUAUAACAUGUAAAUUAUAAAAUUAUUGUAUUUGAAAUAGUUAUAUAAAUAUUUAACUAUAUAAUUAUCAUUAAAAAUAUAUACUACUUAUGUUCUAAAACAAUAAUUUAUGUAUAGAAAAAUGAAAACAAACACCUGUGCGGUUGCACGGGUCAAAAUCUAGUUAUGUUGUUGAUACAGCUGUUAAGCCACGAAUGAGUGAAGCUCCAACAACUACUUGUCACACGUCGCAUUUUGUGGAGCCUGUGUUAAAUAAUGCGCUGUAUUUAAUUAUACGACCACGUUUUACUCGGGACUUAAUUUGCACUUUAUUACGGAACCGUUUAAUGUUUGGUUUGGUUUUGUUUUAUUUCCGGUUUACGUUAUAGACGAUCUGAAUUGAACCUGAACCACCGGUCUCAUCAGUUGUCUUUUAACGUUUUCAUUUCACAAUACAUCAAAAUCGCAGCAAUAAUCAACAUUUAAUGUAUAUACGGGUGUGUUAAAAAAAAAAAGUAUAUACGGGUUGUAAGGAUAUAUAUAUGGAGAACCUUUUUAAAAUAUUCAACUCGAUUCAGAAAAUGAAUAUUUCGUGUGUUUUGAGGCAUUUUGAUGAUUGUGUAAAUGGAAUUUAAUUGAUUAAGCGUAUGAUUGUACAAUAAAUCAAUUUUAGAAUGUAAAAUCUCUGACGAACUACAUAAAGUUCGUCUUCGAUCGGUUUAGGCCGAAUUCAAACUGUUUGGUAUACAUUUUCAACACAAAACCGACACUUAUUAUACCGAAUAGGGGCGAAUACAUACGAUUAAAAGCGGUUUACUAAGCCUUGAUAGAGUCACUAAACCAGCUCGACUUGGACGACAAAAGCACAGCGAGGUUCGACCCUAUAGACCCGGUACGUGUCAGGGAAUCAACACGAUGGUGCCUGCACCUGAAAGAGCCGGCGUGUGUCGUCGGAGUCCCAACGGCGUAAACUCGGUGAGUUUUGGUCUAGGUUCUGCUUCUUGAUCUGUUCGACGGGAGAGCCUCCGGAAGGUUGGGAUUUGAUCUUGCCUAAAUUUAUGGAAUACUUCUCCUCCGCCAUAUAUUUUCUGACAACUAGAGCUUAAGGGUUUUCUCUCGCCGUGGUUUUGAUGAAAAAUAAGAACGAUUCGUACUGUUUUUGUUGUUUCAUAGACAUGUCUGUGGGUAUUAUAUGGGGACUUAAGAGACAAGGCAACUAAAUUAGUCGUUGUAAGGUUGUUGACAAACUGCAUUUUUAAGAUUCGGGUGGUUUAGUAUUCUAGAAAAGAAUAAAUAAGAAUUAGAGGGAAAUAUUUGACUUAGUGGUUAUAUUCUUCUUUUUCUAGUUACACAUUUACACAUUUGUGAUCGUCAAAUAGUUAGAGAAAUACAUGGAUAAAACCAAAAUAUAAUUACUGAAAAUAUAUUGGAAACAAAUUGUGUCUAAGCGCCAAACAAAACCCUAAAACUAUUUAAUUAAUUUGGCGAUGUUGUAAGUUGUAACUAAACAAAAAAACAUCCAAAAAUGUUAGUCUCCUAUUUGUAGUAUGGGGAUGACCUUGAAUUCAAAUCUAAAUUAAAGCACCUUAUUGUUGAAGUCAAAGUCAUUAAGAUGCCUUGUGAACCGAAGUUUAUGUCCAACAUGAAAAUCAGGUAUUCUAACUGUCGUACACCAGUUGAACGUAUAUAUAUACCAUGAAUUUGGUAACUACAAAAUUAGUUUGGAAGCUUAUGUAGUUACCUCGUUUAGGUUAAAUCACUGAGGGGUUAAAUAUGCUUUUAUUAGCAAAUAGAACUGAAAAUACAAGGCAUGAUGAGAAAUAACCAUAUGAAGUGUAAACACUAUUACUAUUACUUAUCAAAAAAAAAGAGUGUAAACACUAUAUCAAGAUUUUUAUAAAUGUUGUGGCAUUGUGAUUUGUAUCUCCUCACAAUGUACUUUACGGUUACUGGUGAGCUCUUUCUGUACAAAACUUUUGACACUCACUCACACAAGUAACCUACUUGCUUCAAACCAAAAAUAAAAAUAAAAACCUUUGAGAGAAGAAACCAAACAAACCAAAAACUAUAGAACUAAAAUCAGAGUCUCUUAUGAGCUCUUGUCUGCUUUAGGGUUUUGUGCUUUUUCAUCCGGAAAGAUCUUGUUUGCAGAGAGGACAACAAGAGAUGAUACGAAGCCACUGAUCUACACACUUAAGGUGAAACUUAUGUGAACAUGGAAGCUUCCUUACUUCUUCCUUGUCUUUAUACUUUGCCAAACAUAUACAACACUCCUGCAUAUCAAGAAUAAAGAAAAUCAAAACCUACUUUUUUCUAUCAUAUAUCUAUCUAAGAUUAAUAAUAUACAACAUUUGAUGUCAGAAUACUUAGUGGAUCAGACAGAGUAAUUACAAAUGAAACCAGUUCCGGUAUAGCAUCAUUGAAUAUCUGAUUGAUUAACCAUAUAUUCAAUUUUUGCUAAAACUCUGUCUUAAGAAAAACCCUUAUGGGUCUGCUUUGAUAUGUGAGUCAAAUGAUUAUAACUUACAGGAUCAUCAGUUUUAGGAGCUGAAUCAGAAGCAUUGUCGUCGGCUCGUUUGUGUUUCCAGCUAGGGAGACUAGAGAUUUGGUCAUCAGAUGCACCUCUGUCUGAAGAUCCCAUGUUCAUGUUGUAUCCAAGGAGACUACUAAUGAGAGGCACAAGGCAACAGAGGAAUAGGAAGAGAAGAAAGGGAAAAGAGUAGCAGAGAGCGUUCCAAGAAAGAAGAGAGACGCAGAGAACGUGAAGCUUUGGAGCAUGGUUGAAAGAACCGAAUCUAGAAUCAAACACCCAAACAUUCCCAACCACAAACCAAAUCGCAAAGAACAGCUCUAGAGACGUUCUGCACUUGUUCAUCAAAUGAGAGCUCCUGAAAUUUAAAACAUAUACGAUAUUAAUACAACUUCAGGAUCUUGCAAAGGUUAUAGUAUUCAAAAUCAAGAAAAUAUAAGUUACCUAGUUUCAUCUCUGCCUCUGUGUUGCUGCUCAAUAUCGACAAACCAGUUUCCUUGGUUUAGUUGGCGAAACCGACCAUAUAAUAGCAUAAGACUGAGGAGACAUCCCACAUCAUAACCUGUGAUCCAUAACCUCACUGGCCAAACAGGUCUCUCUUCUUUUGAGAUAGCUAGUGUGAGUGUAAUCACUGUAAGCUGAACAAGCAGGGCUAUAAGCUCAGACAUCAUCCACGUGCUGGAGUUAAAAGGGUUGGAGCCGAGAUCUGAUCUUGAUCCGUUUUGAUAGUGAAACACUCUUCUCAAGAAGAUAAACCAUCUAGCUCUAGAUACCCUCAUAGCAAACCUUAAGUAGAAGGACCUCUCUUGAACAGAGGCAGGCGCAUGAGUGUUGUCACUUCGUGGUGGUGUGGUACUCAAUGAAGAAGAUGAUGAAAUAGUUAUGGAGACAAUAUUGGAAGAUGAUUCAUCCAUUGGAAGUUUUCCAAAGCGUUCAAUAUAUAUUUAAACCUUCAAAGAAAAAAAGAUUGAACAUUAAAAAAAAAAAAAAAAAACUUCUGAAAGUUUAUAAGUUGUGAACACACACAUGAAACUUGGAAGUAUAUAAACGAAAAGAUCAUGGAAAAAAAACACAAGAAAAAACACAGAAACUAAAGAAAAGGAAUCAUGAAAUUUACAUGACCUAACAAUAAUAAAAACACAUGAAAAAUCUAUAUACCUUAUUUGCAACCACCAAAAAGGCAAAACUCAGCUCCGUACACGAACUCCACGACUUCCCGAAAAGGAGGAAUCUAUUUCACAAAAGGAAAGUACCUCUAGUAGCCUAAGCUUUGAGUAUAGAGAUAAGCUUUUGUCUGAAAUGAAAUAGGUUUUAUAGGGAUAACUUGUUUCUAAUAUAGGAGAAAAGAUUGAGAAGACAGGAACAAGAGAAAAAGAUGAUUACAAAGAAAGAUUAGGAAGGUGUUGUGUUUAUGUCAGGGAAGGUGAAGUUGGGCGAGAGAUGGCGACCAAGAAUCACACCAUAACAAAAGGAUUGUUUAUAUAUUUUAUAAGAGACAAACUCUUUGAAGUUUGUGUUUUGUUUUGUUUGCUUACGUUUGAAGAGAAACAAAGAAAGGGAGAGGAAGAGAACCGUUGGCCUAAUCUAACACCUGAGGUUUUGUUUAUGAAGAAAUGUUUAGAUCGCAACUGCUUAUUCCAACCGCCAAUGCAGACCUUCUCUCUCUACUCUGUUUCUCUCUCUCUAGGAUUGAGAGGAAAGGGAAAGAUAUUUUAUUUGAUUUCUUUUUGUUUUGUUUUUAUUUGUAGAAUUUUCGUUUUGGAAAAGAAAUGGAUAAGAAUUAAGAAUAUCUAGAUGAAGUCAUCAAUUCAAAAUUCACCGUAUGACAAAUCUUUUUGUUAUAACAGAACAAUCUUUCUCGCUUUUUAUUAUGUUGAUCAUUUCCCAACUAUAGUGAUAUUAAAUUUUAAUAAAAAAAUAUACUAUAUAUAAAAUUACAAAUUUUUCCUCUACGUCCAUAACUUAACCUUGUAGCAGUAUGGUUCUUAUUCGAUUCAGUGAUUUUACAUAUGUAAUUAUAUUAAAUCAUAUAUAUACACUUUUAUUUGGAUUAAAUAAAUAAAUGAUGCUUAAGAUUACUAAUUUUGACAACAAGAUUGUAUAACUUGGCGGGAGGAAAUGGGAAGGAGUGGGGGAUGGUUGGCUAACUAAUCUCAACCAGAAGAGUCUAUCAAUUAUCAUUUACGUUGUGGAGUGGAGCCCAAUUCCUCACUUUCUUUCAGUUUCCACGUUGUCUUUUGUCCCAUUAUUAUUUUUAUUUUUUGAAAAAGGCUUUUGCCCCAUUAUUGAGUUUUAUUUGUCAGAUGAUAGUUGUGAAAAAGUAUAUGAUUAAAAAUGAAUAAAAGCGAAUACAUUGUGAACGAAUUAAUAUUCUAGAACUUUCGCAAAUUUUUAAAGUCAAUUAUGUGAAUACUAUAUACGUAUAUGUUGAAACCUAGAGUAUUCAAAACAGAAUUUAGUUCUGCAUCUGUGAAAAUUAUAAAAGCGCUUUAGAACUAGUAUUCUGGUUCCGUUGGUCAAUCAUUCAAAUAUGUUGACUUUCUUACAUUGUAUUUUGACACCAAUUCACAUUUACAAAUUACAAGUUGAAGUUUCCGAGAUUGGAAAUAGAGUAAAAGCUAAAUGACUAUGCAUGGUAUAUCUCUAAAAAUAGUAAGUACUAACAGUUGACACUGACAGCACAAGAUCCAAAAUGAAUUUUUUUUUAUCUAAACGACAAGCAAUUUUAACUGUUAUCUAUAGUAACCUUCAAGGAACUACGAUUCUACAUCCGUCUUAUCGACUCAUUGCACUUUGUAAUUUAAAACUAAAUAAAUCUAAACUCUUUGAUUUACACAUCGAAUGAGGAUAAUUUAAUUUAAUCAUCAUUUCAUAAGGUUUAAUCGAAUUUGAAAGCUUGAACAUAAAUCAUGUUUCUCUCCGUGCAUCGUCGACCAUAUGUAUAUAUGUCGGUCUCGUCGACAAUUCGUCGACCAAUGGAGACAUGCAACAUCAUGAUUACUUUAGCAUGCGAAUAUUUCAUGAAUAUUGACUAAUUAUUAUAUUAUUUUUAUAAGAAAAAAAGAAACUCCAAGGCAACAUCACUCAAAGCAUAACACGUGGCUUCACACGAACACACAGACAGGUGGAUAAAAUUAAUAUCGUUAGCUAAGUUGAAAGUUUUUUUUUUUUUUUUUUUUUUUGUUAAGUUGUUGAAAGCUCAUUUAUCCAGUUAUGAGUUAUCAGAUAGCCACAGGACUUCUCGGUUGUUUUUGGUGGUUAUUGUAAUCCCAACAUCACUUUCGUCUUUUGUUAAAGUUAAUAUAAACUCUGUUUUUGUAAUCCAAACACGUAUUCUUUCUUUUUUCUUUUUAUACUUCAUCAUCGCUUCACAUUCUGGAUUUCCACAGCACGAGAAAUCAGGGCCGGUCCUUGACUAAAGCGGACAAAGCUAUAGGUUUAGGCGGCAAAAUUAUGUUACAUAUUUCAGGGGCAGCAAUUUUGUUAGAAAUGAUAGUGGUGUAGUAGUUGUUGCUAUAACUUGGAUUAUGGCUUCGAUUCUUUACUCUUACAUUUUUAUAGGCUAUAUAUUUUAUUGAUAGAUCUAAAGUUUUUGAGCUUUAGAUGCCACAUAGUGAUGGACCGGACCUCUGAGAAAUCCUUGUCAAAAUCAGCUAGAUCAUCCCACAUUACUUUCAGUCUGCCAAAGUAAACUUCAACUGCAUUGCCAUUCUGUUUGCAUGAUGCAAUCCAGCAUGAAGUUGAUGAACUUUUUGUAUCAUCGCUUAUAGAAAAGCCUCAGUUGAAGGCUUCCCCACAUAAUCUUUGCGCUGUCAACCAGUGAUAUUGACGGUCGCAAUUUUGGUUCUACACUCCUGUAGAUCCAACCAAUGAUCAUAGCAUUCACAAUAUCCCACUUUUUUCAUCUUCUGGUUUGUUGACUGGUUGUUUCAGAGUGCCAUCAACGAAACCUAUCUUUUGUUUGGUUCUUAACUAGUUGAACAUCAAUUUUGCCCAUUUUUCAUAAUUUGCUCCAUUCAAAAGAAUGAGUGUCUAAACUUGUCAUGUAUUAUCUAAAGGAUGGAGAUAAUAUGGAGAGACAAGUGGAUCGUUUCUCCACCAGUAGCUCAUGUCGGUGACGCCAUGCUAAUCGAGGUAGAUCAAAAAAAAUCUCAUCGUAACAGUAUAUUUUGGUGGUUCGUAAAUUUAUUAGCUUUGUAGAAAAUUUAGUUGUUUGGCUGUGAUACCAUAACAAACUAAUAUAAACUUUGUUUUUGUUAUUCAUCUCAAGGUCAAUACAUCGAUAUUUAUACACAUGAUAUGAGCCGUAACAAUAGGAGAUAACUACUACAACCAAUAAUGUUGUGUUUAUUUAAAUAUAUGUUUAUCCUUAACUAAUAUUUCGCACAUAUCACCGUCUGUUGAUAUAGGGUUUGACUAAGUUUUGAGUUAAGGUUAGUGCAUAUAUAACACCACAAACUUAAGACCUUAUCACACCAAAAUUACUAGUGCCUCGUAAAAACAAGGAUCUGAAGAAUAAAUCUGAUCCAAAAAGUUAUACCAAACUUGAACUGAAACUGAUAAAAUAUAUGAUGAAUAGAUUCAAAAUUUUAAUAUAUGGAAAAACCGGAGCAGAACCAAACUGAAAUAUUCCAGACACAUAAAAAUAAAUGAUCAUUAAUUAUAUGCUUAAAUAUAUUAAUUAUUUUUAAUAUAAUAUCUAAAAAUAUUCUGAAUUAUCAAAUACUUGGAAAAAUAUCUAAAAUUUGAAGAAGAAAAACUGACAUUGAAGUAAACUACAGUUAGAUAUGUAUGACCCCGAAUUAUUGGGCCCAAAUUAUUCUAUGGGUCAAUCUGGGCCCAAGUUGUUUAAAAUUAACAUAUUAGCGUAAUGCGUAAUGGAUCUCACUUAAGAAGGAUCUAGAAAUUCUGUAUUAUGUGGGUAUAUAUCUAAUUAUAUAAAAGAAUGUUUGAGUCUCUCCCGUCAUGUCCACGUGUAAAUUCUUUUGAUAUAGACUUGACGCGUGUCUCGCUUCUCCACAAACCGAGCUUUCUUCACUCCUUUUCGCUCUAUUGUUUUGGGCUUCAGUUGCCAGGCCCGUAAGUGAAGAUGAACCCUAGAUCGCGUUUCGCGUUUACACCAUCGCCUCCGUCCUGACUUUGCGAUUCCGGUAACGGUUCAGCCGAUACUUAACUCCCAUUUAUUGUUACCUCCACGAUGUGCCUUCAAUGCGGUCGUCGCGUCGCAUAGGCGGUGAGUUUUUUUGUAUAUAUAGACAUCAGAUCUCUCAUCUUCGAUUCAUCAAAUCUUUGUUGCUUAGUACUCAUAUAGAUUCCGCUUCAGUUUUGUCAUGUCUACUCCCAGGGUUUUCUUCUCAGACCUCAAGUCCGGCAAGUGCUCAUCCGCUGUUGAGGCUCGGCUUCUGCGAUUCUGGGAGGCGAAGAAUGUCAAACGCGGUGGGGAGCUGAUGUGGGUCGACAUGCUCUUGAUUGAUGUCAAUGUGAGUUAUUUUCAUACAUGAUUAAUCCGAUUAAACUCUUCGUGUUUGGUUUUUUUUUCCUAAAGUUUAAUCAAUUUUUUUUUUCAUGUAUCAGGCGACAAUGAUGCAAGCCACCAUCUAUGCUAACCGCCUUUCAAGAUUUCGUUCCAAACUCGCCGCCGGAACGAUGUACACCAUCUCUGGAUUCGACUCCCCUCUGAUGAUCCGGUUUAAUGAUUCCACCGCCUUUGAUGAGCUAACCGAGCCGGUUAGUCCAUUACCUGAAGAAGGAUUCCGGUUCCGUAAUCAGUCUGAAUAGCAAGGGUUCAUCGUGUUCGUCGACCUUUGGGUAAUCUCAAACAAUGGAGUUUCGAAGAGAGUUAUCAGAGACGGAUCGAUCGAUCUGUAUUCGUGUCGUUUCGUCUUGCUUCUGGAUGAAUUGAUUUGAUGCCAUUAAUGAUAUUCUUAACUCCAUCAAGCCACUGCAACCACGUUUUGUCAUUCAAUACACCUUCUAUCUCUUCAAAGGCGGUGCAUCUCAAGCUAUAAAAAGCUGAGCUUUCAUCCCAUAAACAUUAUCCUCACAAAUCAAAAUAAUCCUUGAAAGUUAUUUGAUUUUUUAACUCAAUAUUGAUGUUUGUUGUUUGCUUUUUAUACUUUUAUUAUAUGCUUGAAUCAGCAACGCAGGGCCGUGCUAGGCAGGAACUAGAAGACUCUUGCUUUUCGGAUUCCCUUCAUUAACAUAAUCAACAAACUCAACUCUAAACACAGGUUUGUUAAAUCUAUCGUUGUACUUUUGUAAUUGAAGACUCAAAGUUUUACACUUUCUAUGGUUCUUAUUUGGAUUCGAUGUGUGAAAGGCUUGGUAAGAACCAUUUUUGUUUGGUUUUGGCUCCGACAAGAGAGCUUGCUGGUCCGGUAGCAAAUAAAUUCAGAGAAGCCCCAUCUCUCGGUGAGGCACGAAACAGAACAGCAAAAUGAGAACUCUCAGAUGCAGAAUUUCGCUGGUGUUGGUGGUGCUCCUGUUGGUGAUAGUUUAGGACCUUCACGUCUCUCUCCGGCUGACUUCUACGUCUUGAAAGUUUGACAGGGCAUGUGAAUCAUAAUGUAAGCUUUUGAAUUUUUUUUUACAAGUUAUAUACUUUUGGCAGGUAAUGCUUUAGAUAGUAGAUGAUAGUUUUGAAUGUUUUUUUACAAAUUAUUGACUUUUGGACAUGUUAUGCUUUAAGAUAAUGGAUGAUAGUUGGAGAGCAAAAUUUGACAGAGAGUGAGAUAAGAUGGCUUUAGGCUAUGCUUUAAGGCUUAUGGUAUCUAGAGAGAUUGUAUUCCUGAUGGUGAUGAAACUGCUAACAACAUUAUGAGUGUCUCAUGUCCAAACGAGAAAAAUGUUUCCUGUGUCUGGAUUUUUUUUUCUGUUUUUUUUUUGUACCUAAGAUGUUAUGUCUAUCAAUUGUAUUUUGGAAAUCCACAUUUGUUCUGUUUCUAAAAACGUUUAUAUAUGUGUGUACACACAUGUAAUCUAAACUUCUAAGCUCUUCAUAUUAUGUGCAAUGUUAUGACUCAGGAGGAUGAUAAAGCUGAGGCUCCGGAGGAUGAGAUGGUUGUGAAAGAGCCUGAGGUAGAAAAUAAACAGAACUGGAACCGGUGUUUGAAAAACAGAAGGAGAGGAGGCAGAAAGCUUUGAAUGAGAAAGAGAUGGAUAAUGUUGCAUACAAUGACUUCGAAACUUCUAUCAAGCAUUACUCCAAAAAGGCAUUAGGGAGAAACAGAAACAUGAAGAGGUGAAUCGUUUAAAGAGGGAGACUGCUGAAACAGAGGAAUCACAUAGACGAAUAAGAAGAAGAGAGUAAGAGACCCAUGACAGAGCGUCAAGCUGCAGAGAGAGAGAGAAGCUACUAGACUGAGAAUAAGGCAAGAAAAGGCACUUCAUCUUGACGGAUCUGAGAAAGGACCUGAUGCUAAACAUGUAAGUUAUCUUUUCUUUAACACCCAUUACUUAUACUUCGUUCAUGAAAGGCCAAACUAUUACUUUCUAUGCAAAGCACAUCAGUCUAAUUUUUAUGCUGUUGGGAUUCAGAACUUUGUGAUAGUAUAAAAUUUUAAUUUUUAUCAAGCCUUAUAAAUCUCUUUAUAAAUGCAGGAGUCAACAGAAGUUUUUUUUUAUUCUUUAUCGAUGCUUGAAGCGGUAACUCAUCUCUCUCUCUCUAAAUACAUGUAUGUAUAUAUUUCUCAGUACAAUGUCUUACAAAUACGCUUAUCUGUUUUGUUGAAACAUUUGAUUUGUUCUGGACCUUGCGGGGAAUGGUAACAUCAAAUAUGUGUUAUUUACAAUCUACAUAAAUACAUUGACAAAACUGCAAACUUCCUUUGAUUGUGUCUCUUGCUGUUUGUUCUAGGAGGCACAUAUUAUGAACAUAAGAUGUCACUUCUGGCUACUACAAAGUAUCAAGGUAAAAAUUAGAUUCAAAAUUUCUCUUAUGCAAUUCCUGAUAACUUUAAAACUCAUCAUAGUGUUUUCACCUUUUUCUUCUGGUGAUAGGAUCAUUUGAAGAAGAUAGCAUGGUGAUGGAUUCAAAUAUGUAGGUAACAAAAACCACAACUCUUUCUCCCCACUUUCCAACUAUUUGGAUAUUUUAAAAUCAUUUAUUCGUUUAUUGCUUUUAGAUCUUUUACAUUCAUGAUUUGCAUCAAACAAUGUUCACUGUACUCUUCUUCAAUUAGUGAAGGGAAGAGCCAGAGGAUGAGACAUGGGUCAUUCCGGAGAUAAACGUCGUGCCGUGGUGGAAUGUUAACGUAUAGAUCUGAAGGAGAGGCCAAACAAAUCUUUUCUUUAGUCGAUAGAAACACAGUUUUUGUUUUUGUCGAGAGUAACUAUAUAAAAAUUAAUAAUAUUUUAUAAAAACCGAACGAGAGGCACAAUAUAAAACAACGUGAUAAAGAAUAUAUAAGCAUAAUAAAACUAUAAUAUAAAAUAAACUAAACAUAUCACAAAUUUACACAACAAAAAUAAUUUAUAGUAUUCUUAUAUCAAACAAUUUUAAUCAAAAAAUGACAAAAAUAAAAAAAAGAGCAGUCACGAAAAAUAAUGAUUCAUGCAUAAUAUAUAACAAACUAUUCAAAUAAAAAUCAAAUAUUAGUUAGUAUGUUUAGUUUUCUCAAACAUUCCUCUAAUCAUACUAACAUUGUAACAAUCUAUUACUUUUUGAAAGUGGGGUGCUGCAUUUUGUGUCCGUAAAGGACCAGAAGAAGAACGUUUGGCUACAUAGGUAUGUCUCUGCAUUUAAAUAGAUUUGUGUAUCAUGUUAUUGGCUUAAUGCUUUCGUGUUGAUCAUUCUGUUUAUGUGCAAUACUUGGACCACAGAGAGUGAGCAUGAUCGAGUAUGAACUCAAGAACAUGUGUAGACUUUAACAUGGUGAGUCAGCAUCCCCGAUUCUGAUGAACUCAUGUAACUGAUCUUACAGAGGGAGAUGAUCCCCUGAAUUGGCUGUUACCAUCAACUAUUGUUUGUUUUAUAAAACAAACAAAUCUUCUUUUUUUUUCCACUGUACUUUUCUAUAUAUAAAACAAAUCUAAAAUAACCAACAACUGGAUGCAAACCUCUUUGAAUGUGAAUGUGUAAAGUCAAAAAGUAGGCUGAAUCAGUCCAAUUAAUUGUUUAUGACACAAAGACAAAAUUAAGAAAAACAAUAUUUUAAACUUACGACAAAUACUCAGUAACAUAUUAUUUAACCGUACAACAGCAUGCUACAUACAAAGACACAGCACUCGGCGGUGAGCAACGCAGCACUCGGCAGAGAGAAAGAAGAAAUCGGCGGAGAAUAACGGAGAAAGUAGUGAAAGAGCAACAGAGCAAUGGCGGAUAGCAAUGAACAAGAGGCAUUGAGAUGGAUCAAGUGACGGAAAGAGUGAGAUGGACAGACAUGAAACAAGCGACAGAUAGUGUGACAAGAGAAAGGAAAUGAAAUUGCUGCAGUUCAAUAUGGCACAAGGGAGGUUCAUAGGCUCUCAGACAUGGUAAAUUAAUCACUCUGUUAGAAAACAUAUAACAAAGGUACAUGCCCAAUUGUGCUUAUUUCUUUCAAAGUAGAACCUCAUGAAAGAAAGUUGACACCUAUUGAAGAUAUCAAAGCUCUAAACAUGAAAACAUAAGUAAUUUCAAAUUCUAACAACAUUAAAAUCUGGAAUCUUCUUUGUAUUUGUUCAAAGUUUGUUAUACGAAUCCUUCUUUGCAUGUCUCUCCACAUGUUCAGUGCAUAUAUCAUAAGUUAGAUUGUAUGUUAUGUGUGGUCAUGUUAAUUUUGUACUUAUUGACUAUAAAAUGCAUUUUAUUCAUGAAUGGUUAACGGUAACAACUGUAUUUGGGACAUGAAAAAAAAUACAAUAGUGUUGUACUUAAUAGAAAACGACAAUAAUUUCACAAAUAAUCCAUUUAUAAUUAAGCAUGAAAAAAAACACUCAUUAAUUCAAAUAAUAACUCAGAAUAUAUAUAAAAGCUAACAUCUAACCAUUCAAUUAUUAUCCAAAAUUCUUAAACAAAAGAACUUUAACCAUUCAUAAUAUAAAUUGUAUAACAAAAUUAACAAACACCAUAUAAUAUCAUACACAAAUUCAUCAACAAAUAAUAAUCACAAUAUAACAAAAUUUGUUAUACUUUGGUGAUAACUUUUUUGAAUCAACAACAAAUUUUGAGAUACAAUUAUGAUUAUCAUUUUUCAAAAUUGAUUAUAUAUAUAUAUAUACAUAUAUUAUAAAUGGGGGCAUUUACAUCAAAACAGACUUUUGUCGAAAUGGAAUAAAAAUUUGAAAAGAAAAAAUUUCAAACACUUAUGAAAAUAAGAUAAAUAAUAUUUUGAUAAUGGGUUCAAUUAGUUGGAUUGUAAAUGCAUAACUUUUAUUGUAAGAACUCAGUUUGUCAUUUUUAGUGCCAUAGUUGUAAGUUUUUUUAUCUACAAAAUAUUACAAUUUUUAAACAGUUGAUUAAAAAAAAGCAUAAAGAUAUAUAAGGUGGUAAAUUAAAAGGUAGAGUCCAUUAAAUAAAUCAUAUACUAAUUAGAAACAAACGUUAUAAAUAGUUUUAUGUGUACUGAAACAUGUAAGCAAAUCAACCAAUUAAGCACCAUAAAUAAAAAAAAAAAUUUAAAAAAACAAAAAAAUAUUUAAAUUUUGUUCAUUCUGCUUUUUACCUUAUAUAUAAUUUUUAAUGACAAAAAAUAGAUACACAAAUUUCGAAUCGCGUAAGACAAAAACAUUGAAUAUUUUAAAUUAUUUUACAUUUAUCUAUAGUUUUAUAUAUUUUUAUAAUAGAUUAUCAAAUUUAUAUAUUAAAAUAAUCAUACUAAAUAUAUAAUUAAAAUUAAAUUUAAUAAAAAAACCCGGGCGUAGCCCGGGCCGACCCUAGUAUAUAUAUAUAUACACACAACUACUUCCUUCAUAACUUAUAUCUUCGACUACUUGGCUGCUGCUCUCUCUCUCUCCUUGAUAAACCCUAGAUCUCCCCGAUAAGCAGCAACAAUGGCAGACGCAGAGACCUUCGCUUUCCAGGCUGAGAUCAACCAGUUGCUCUCGCUCAUCAUCAACACCUUCUACAGCAACAAGGAGAUCUUCCUUCGUGAGCUCAUCAGUAACUCUUCCGAUGUACGUCUCUUUUGCUUUCUCCUGGAUCGAUCUGUCGAUUAGGUUUGAUUAGUGUUGCUGUUGUAUCCGAUUUGAAUAUUGAAGUAGGGAGCUCUAUGAUAUUCAAAUCUGUCUUCCUAGAUUUAGUUUUGCUACCAUGGUUAAGCAUUAGGUGUUAAGCUUCGAUGAAUUUGAUUUUCGUCUUUUAUGAGAUAAUCGCAUCUUCAAUCUAUGUGCAUUCGGUUUGUUUGUAUACUUAUGGUUGGAUCUUACUCUGGUGACUUAGUUUUUGAAUGAAAUAAGUAACUCGGAGGUAUAGUUUUGGAUUGAUUCUACGAGAUAGUUUGAGUUUCUUUCUAUGCGUUUGUAUACGUUCUUGCGUUUGUUACUUAAUGGUUUUGAUCUGAUUCUUGUGAAACAGGCGUUGGACAAGAUUAGGUUCGAGUCCUUGACUGAUAAGAGCAAACUCGAUGGCCAGCCAGAGCUUUUCAUUCACAUCAUUCCUGACAAGACUAAUAACACCUUGACCAUUAUCGAUAGUGGUAUCGGUAUGACCAAGGCUGAUUUGGUCAACAACCUUGGAACCAUUGCGAGGUCUGGUACCAAGGAGUUCAUGGAGGCGUUGGCUGCUGGUGCUGAUGUUAGCAUGAUUGGGCAGUUUGGUGUUGGUUUCUACUCUGCUUACUUGGUCGCUGACAAGGUUAUUGUGACUACUAAACACAAUGACGAUGAGCAGUACGUGUGGGAGUCUCAGGCUGGUGGGUCUUUCACCGUGACCAGAGACACCUCUGGAGAGAGUCUUGGUAGGGGUACUAAGAUGGUCCUUCACCUCAAGGAAGACCAGUUGGAGUACCUUGAGGAGAGGAGGCUUAAGGAUUUGGUCAAGAAGCACUCUGAGUUCAUCAGCUACCCAAUCUCCCUGUGGAUCGAGAAGACUAUUGAGAAGGAGAUUUCUGAUGACGAGGACGAGGAAGAGAAGAAGGACGAGGAAGGAAAGGUUGAGGAGGUCGACGAGGAGAAAGAAAAGGAGGAGAAGAAAAAGAAGAAGAUUAAGGAGGUUUCUCACGAGUGGGACUUGGUGAACAAGCAGAAGCCUAUUUGGAUGAGGAAGCCCGAGGAGAUCAACAAGGAGGAGUACGCUGCCUUCUACAAGAGUCUCAGCAACGAUUGGGAAGAGCACUUGGCCGUGAAGCACUUCUCUGUUGAAGGACAGCUCGAGUUCAAGGCUGUUCUCUUUGUACCCAAGAGAGCUCCUUUUGAUCUAUUUGACACCAAGAAGAAGCCCAACAACAUCAAGCUCUACGUACGUCGUGUCUUCAUCAUGGACAACUGUGAGGACAUCAUCCCAGAGUACCUUGGCUUUGUCAAAGGUAUUGUCGACUCGGAAGAUCUCCCCCUCAACAUCUCAAGAGAGACGUUGCAGCAGAACAAGAUCCUUAAGGUCAUCCGCAAGAACCUCGUGAAGAAGUGCAUGGAGCUCUUCUUUGAGAUUGCUGAGAACAAGGAGGACUACAACAAGUUCUACGAAGCUUUCUCUAAGAAUUUGAAGCUCGGCAUCCACGAGGACUCUCAGAACAGAACCAAGAUCGCUGAGCUACUCCGUUACCACUCAACCAAGAGCGGUGAUGAGUUGACCAGCCUCAAGGAUUACGUGACAAGGAUGAAGGAAGGUCAGGAGGAUAUCUUCUACAUCACCGGUGAGAGCAAGAAGGCUGUGGAGAAUUCUCCAUUCCUUGAGAGGCUCAAGAAGAAAGGGUAUGAAGUCCUUUACAUGGUGGAUGCCAUCGAUGAGUAUGCCAUUGGCCAGCUCAAGGAAUUCGAGGGAAAGAAGCUCGUCUCUGCAACCAAGGAAGGUCUGAAACUGGAAGAGUCAGAAGACGAGAAGAAGAAAAAGGAAGAGCUAAAGGAGAAGUUCGAAGGACUCUGCAAAGUGAUCAAGGACGUCCUUGGAGACAAAGUCGAGAAGGUCAUUGUCUCUGACCGUGUUGUGGACUCACCAUGCUGUCUGGUAACAGGGGAAUACGGCUGGACUGCAAACAUGGAGAGGAUCAUGAAAGCGCAGGCCUUGAGAGACAGCAGCAUGGGAGGUUACAUGUCUUCCAAGAAGACGAUGGAGAUCAACCCAGAGAAUGCGAUCAUGGACGAGCUGAGGAAGAGGGCUGAAGCAGACAAGAACGACAAGUCUGUGAAAGAUCUUGUUCUCCUCCUCUUUGAGACUGCCCUUCUCACUUCAGGUUUCAGCUUAGACGAGCCCAACACCUUCGGAAGCAGAAUCCACAGGAUGUUGAAGCUGGGAUUGAGCAUUGAUGAUGAUGAUGCCGUUGAAGCCGAUGCAGAGAUGCCACCGCUUGAGGAUGAUGCCGAUGCUGAAGGCAGCAAGAUGGAGGAGGUCGACUAAAAGCCUGCCCUGUUGCUGCAGUCGAUUAUUUUUCUGGACUUCUCUGAUCCUUUUU